Coregonus clupeaformis (lake whitefish) is the source of this 277-nucleotide long non-coding RNA. RefSeq lists it as uncharacterized. NCBI's taxonomy places the organism in Eukaryota, Metazoa, Chordata, Actinopteri, Salmoniformes, Salmonidae. The record is from RefSeq and is a predicted model, not a curated record. The transcript is spliced from 3 exons.
AAGUUGAAGAACAGAAGAAGGUGGACAUCGUAGUGGAAGCUGGCAAGGGGAACAACACUGCCAACCUGAACGUGUCUCUAUUGCACAACCUGAGGCAACUCAAAGGAGUGAUACCUACAUCAUUACAGAUGAGCUGCACGGGGUACGCCACCAAUGGUGCCGCUAAUGACCGCCUCUCGGCCCAUUGCUCCGGAAGCAUCGCCGGUCGACCCGUGGAGACUCUCCUCCCUCCGUACUUCUCAGUGAAUGGCUCCUUGGUCCGCUCCCACCACGCGUC